UCCACUCAAAAUCAAGUUCAGGUCUCGAACUGAAAAUGAGUGGUUUUCUGAACUUGAUUAUGAGUGGAUUUUUCACUCAAACGACAGUUCAAAAGCUGAACUGGCGUUUGAGUAGUUUGGACUUGGCGAAGAAAUGGUCAGCAGCAGUCAGCUUUUUUUCUAAGUCGAGUCUUUCAAGUUUUGCGGCUAAGUCCAGUUCGUAACAGGAUAUAUGGAACUGGUUCCCGGAACACAACGGGGACGGUCGGAACUGGUUCGCGGGACGGACAUGGGGGAAGGGGUUAUGUUUUAUCCUCCCCACUCGGUGGUGUUCAAACGGCUGAAGAAACAGCCCAAGAUGACGGAGUGCCGCACCGUCCAGGAGGCGUUU
Long non-coding RNA from Culex quinquefasciatus (southern house mosquito), 370 nucleotides. RefSeq lists it as uncharacterized. The record is from RefSeq and is a predicted model, not a curated record. NCBI's taxonomy places the organism in Eukaryota, Metazoa, Arthropoda, Insecta, Diptera, Culicidae. The transcript is spliced from 3 exons.